Molecule: RNase MRP RNA, 510 nt
Filed under: Colletotrichum fructicola Nara gc5
Lineage: Eukaryota; Fungi; Ascomycota; Sordariomycetes; Glomerellales; Glomerellaceae
Description: rNase MRP
Rfam family: RNase MRP
About the family: RNase MRP is an enzymatically active ribonucleoprotein with two distinct roles in eukaryotes. In mitochondria it plays a direct role in the initiation of mitochondrial DNA replication.
Source: Rfam by way of RNAcentral
UCCUCGUCCGACAAAUCGCCAUCGAAGCUCACAAACAGAGACGCCCCAAAACGUCUCGGGCUCUUUGUAGCCCAGCAGCUUUGGGAGAAAGUCCCCGGACACACGUUACUUCUUCCUUUCGGGGUUGAAGGCAAAACGCCGCGGAAACGCGCCGCCAUAGAAGCACAGCGGCUGACCUCCAAGACCUGCGUCCGGACACAAUGGCUCUCCCCCUCCGCCCUGCCCCGUCGCUACAUCGUCGCGGUUCCUCUGCACCCUUCUCGAAGCCCCGUCCCCUCGUUCCGAGACCCCAUGGAUGAAGAUAUGAGUCCGCGCUUGGGAUCUGAGGGUGGUGUGCUUUGGAUGGGACGAGAGGGCUCUUCGGUGACGGGGUGGCCGCGUGGGGAGGUCGCUUGCCGGGUGAAUUCAAGGGUCGGUCGGAGGAGUCUUUCGUCGAGAUCGAUAGUUAUGCGAUUGCUCGUCCCUUCACGGGGGCGGGAUUACUCGAUGGGGCUUAUUCUCGGCGCGAGG